GUGUCAUUAGAAAAGGGGAAAUACCACCCAACGGUAUUCCUCUUUGGUAAUUACACCUUGUAUGAAGAAGACACACU
This 77-nucleotide transfer RNA is filed under the name Shewanella putrefaciens. Its description in RNAcentral is "tRNA-Met". The record is from RNAcentral. Lineage: Bacteria; Pseudomonadati; Pseudomonadota; Gammaproteobacteria; Alteromonadales; Shewanellaceae.